Molecule: long non-coding RNA, 1789 nt
Organism: Cervus elaphus (red deer)
Lineage: Eukaryota; Metazoa; Chordata; Mammalia; Artiodactyla; Cervidae
Exons: 3
Source: RefSeq, a predicted model, not a curated record
GAGAAAGAUGAGGGCAGAGAAGGGGCCACCGGAACUGGCAUUGUGGGGAUCGCUUGGGAUGUGGCCCAGGCUGUUGCAGUGAAGUGAAAGGAAGAAUCGAGAAGAGACUGAAGAUUCAGGAGGGAGAGCUGAUAACUGUAGGCGCACAGCCCCUGAGAAGGGGAAAGGGCGGGAUUUGCGAGCUGGGCUUUGAGAGGCUGUUCUGGAAGGCAGGAGAAAAGAGUGGUCAUCUGUCAGUGCUCACCUGGAAAUGGAUGAGGACAGCCCCUGAGACAACAUAAAUGUACGUUCUCUUGGAAUGAAACUUUUGUGAUGCUGAGGAGGGAGGUACCAUGUGGUCCGAGAGGAUCAGAGGCCCAAACCUUCAGAUUCCAGAGGGUGGAUUUCUCUAGUCCUUUCUCUCGGUGGGUUAGCAGCAGCUGGUCAUUGAAUUCCAAGGAAUCCUGGGAGCAGAAACCAACUUUUCGAAACAGGAAGUAUGUUUGAAGGAAAGAGGAAGACUAGUGACCACUUCCAUCGAGCAAAGUGUAUGUUUAGUUUGAAGCUCAGCAACCAGACGGGUUUCUUCCCUCUCACCACCCAGCCCUCACCAGCCUCCCCCCACCCUCCCCAUCACCUGACCGAAAGACACAGGUCAGCUGCUAUGGGAUAGUGCGGUGAAGAGGAAAGAAGCCUGAACCUAUCCCGACACUUGAGUCUGAGUUUUACGGCUUUGAGUUUGAUUGUUACUGGUUUAUUAAAUGAGCUGGACCUGGUGGGGUGCCAGGAGGAAGAUGAUUUAUUCCAAGCAGCUUGGAAUUCCAUGUAGCUUUUUCCGUCUACUUUUGAGAGCUUCUGUCCUUGAGAGCUUCUCCAGGCAACUGUACAGAGACCCAGUCAAUGUAAUAUCAAAACCCUAAACUCUCAUCUGAGAGUUGAGGAUGAGAUGGUUGAAUGGCAUCACCAACUCGAUGGACAUGAGUUUGAGCAAACUCCAGGAGAUGGCGAAGGGCAGGGAAGCCUGGCAGGCUGCAGUACAUGGGGUCACAAAGAGUUGGACAUGACUGAGCGACUGAAUGACAACAAACUCUCGUCCCGUUUAAACAUUUUUCUCCCUAAGCCAGGGCCUCUCUCACCUUAUGAAACCUAAGGUGUGGAAGCAGGAGGUGGUCAGCUGCUUCUUCCUCUGCCUUCCUGCUCCCCCGCUUGUUUGCCAUCCUGGCCCCUCCGGGGUGGCAAGGAGGAGAGGUUGUAUGGUGGCCAUUAGAAGCUGGUGUCCUAUGAUCCUGUCAGGCUCCCAAUGCAGGUUUUUUCCUCUCAUAAGGUGUGGGUAGCCAGCCUCGAAGAUGGUCUCCAACAACCCCUACCUCCUCACAGGACACUCUUGUGUAGCACCUCCUCUUCCCCUCCCUUGUACCCUGGUUGGUUUCUGCGACCAACAGAAUAUGGCAGGAGUGAUGGUGUUUUGAGGUUAGGUUAUAAAAAACACUGUGGCUUCUAUUUUACUAUUUCAUUAGCUCUGAGAGAAGUGAGUGGUCAUGUUGGGAAGCCACCUGUGUGAACGUCCGUUUACUGAGGAAGUUGGGCUUUCAGUUAUCAGCCAGAGAGGAACCGAGGCCUCUUCCCAACAGCCUCAUGAGUGAGUUAGAAGUGGGCGCUCCUGCCUCGUCAAGCACCAGAUGAGACUGCAGCCCAGCCGAUGUCGGAAUCCCAACCUCGUGAGAGACUCUGAGCCAGAGUCAUCCAGUUAAGCUUCUCCCGGUUUCCUGACCCUCAGAAACAGUGUCAGACAACACAGCUUGUUGUUUGA